AGAGUUUGAUCCUGGCUCAGGAUGAACGCUGGCGGCGUGCCUAACACAUGCAAGUCGAACGGAGUUCUUAAGGAAUGCGACUUCGGUCAAAUGACUUUUGAACUUAGUGGCGGACGGGUGAGUAACGCGUGAGCAACCUGCCUUUCAGAGGGGGAUAACAUUUGGAAACAGAUGCUAAUACCGCAUAAGAUUACAGUACCGCAUGAUACAGUGAUCAAAGGAGCAAUCCGCUGAAAGAUGGGCUCGCGUCCGAUUAGAUAGUUGGUGAGGUAACGGCUCACCAAGUCGACGAUCGGUAGCCGGACUGAGAGGUUGAACGGCCACAUUGGGACUGAGAUACGGCCCAGACUCCUACGGGAGGCAGCAGUGGGGAAUAUUGCACAAUGGGCGAAAGCCUGAUGCAGCAACGCCGCGUGAGGGAAGACGGUUUUCGGAUUGUAAACCUCUGUUUUCGGUGACGAAUAAAUGACGGUAACCGAGUAGGAAGCCACGGCUAACUACGUGCCAGCAGCCGCGGUAAUACGUAGGUGGCAAGCGUUAUCCGGAAUUACUGGGUGUAAAGGGAGCGCAGGCGGGAUAGCAAGUCAGCUGUGAAAACUAUGGGCUCAACCCAUAAACUGCAGUUGAAACUGUUAUUCUUGAGUGGAGUAGAGGCAGGCGGAAUUCCGAGUGUAGCGGUGAAAUGCGUAGAUAUUCGGAGGAACACCAGUGGCGAAGGCGGCUUGCUGGGCUCUAACUGACGCUGAGGCUCGAAAGUGUGGGGAGCAAACAGGAUUAGAUACCCUGGUAGUCCACACUGUAAACGAUGAUUGCUAGGUGUGGGGGGUCUGACCCCCUCCGUGCCGGAGUUAACGCAAUAAGCAAUCCACCUGGGGAGUACGGCCGCAAGGUUGAAACUCAAAGGAAUUGACGG
Molecule: ribosomal RNA, 913 nt
Filed under: uncultured bacterium
Lineage: Bacteria
Description: bacterial SSU rRNA
Rfam family: Bacterial small subunit ribosomal RNA
Source: RNAcentral